Molecule: ribosomal RNA, 482 nt
Filed under: uncultured bacterium
Lineage: Bacteria
Description: partial 16S ribosomal RNA
Rfam family: Bacterial small subunit ribosomal RNA
Source: RNAcentral
AUUGAACGCUGGCGGCAUGCUUUACACAUGCAAGUCGAACGGUAACAGGCCGCAAGGUGCUGACGAGUGGCGAACGGGUGAGUAAUGCAUCGGAACGUGCCCAGUCGUGGGGGGUAACUACUCGAAAGAGUAGCUAAUACCGCAUACGAUCUAUGGAUGAAAGCGGGGGACCGUAAGGCCUCGCGCGAUUGGAGCGGCCGAUGUCAGAUUAGGUAGUUGGUGGGGUAAAGGCUCACCAAGCCAACGAUCUGUAGCUGGUCUGAGAGGACAACCAGCCACACUGGGACUGAGACACGGCCCAGACUCCUACGGGAGGCAGCAGUGGGGAAUUUUGGACAAUGGGCGCAAGCCUGAUCCAGCAAUGCCGCGUGCAGGAAGAAGGCCUUCGGGUUGUAAACUGCUUUUGUACGGAACGAAACGGCUCUGGUUAAUACCCGGGGCUAAUGACGGUACCGUAAGAAUAAGCACCGGCUAACUACGUG